Molecule: ribosomal RNA, 496 nt
Filed under: uncultured bacterium
Lineage: Bacteria
Description: partial 16S ribosomal RNA
Rfam family: Bacterial small subunit ribosomal RNA
Source: RNAcentral
AUUGAACGCUGGCGGCGUGCCUAACACAUGCAAGUCGCACGCGAAAGGGGGCAACCCCAAGUAGAGUGGCGGACGGGUGAGUAACGCGUAGGAAUCUACCUAGUAGUGGGGGACUACCUGGCGAAAGCCGGGCUAAUACCGCAUACGACCGAAGGGGGAAAGCAGGGGAUCGCAAGACCUUGCGCUACUAGAUGAGACUGCGUCCGAUUGGACGGUUGGUGAGGGAACGGCCCACCAGGGCGACGUUCGGUAACUGGUUUGAGAGAACGACCAGUCACAUUGGGACUGAGACACGGCCCAAACUCCUACGGGAGGCAGCAGUGGGGAAUAUUGGACAAUGGGGGCAACCCUGAUCCAGCGACGCCGCGUGUGUGAAGAAGGCCUUCGGGUUGUAAAGCACUUUCGGCAGGGACAAACAAGACGGAGCUAACAUCUCCGUUCCUGAUGGUACCUGAAGAAGAAGCACCGGCUAACUCUGUGCCAGCCGCCGCCGUAA